Molecule: ribosomal RNA, 525 nt
Filed under: uncultured bacterium
Lineage: Bacteria
Description: bacterial SSU rRNA
Rfam family: Bacterial small subunit ribosomal RNA
Source: RNAcentral
AAUAGAUACCCCGGUAGUCCACGCCGUAAACGAUGAGUGCUAAGUGUUGGAGGGUUUCCGCCUUUCAGUGCUGCAGCUAACGCAUUAAGCACUCCGCCUGGGGAGUACGGUCGCAAGACUGAAACUCAAAGGAAUUGACGGGGGCCCGCACAAGCGGUGGAGCAUGUGGUUUAAUUCGAAGCAACGCGAAGAACCUUACCAGGUCUUGACAUCUCCUGACCGCCCUGGAGACAGGGUCUUCCCUUCGGGGACAGGAUGACAGGUGGUGCAUGGUUGUCGUCAGCUCGUGUCGUGAGAUGUUGGGUUAAGUCCCGCAACGAGCGCAACCCUUGGUUCUAGUUGCCAGCAUUCAGUUGGGCACUCUAGAGCGACUGCCGGCGACAAGUCGGAGGAAGGUGGGGAUGACGUCAAAUCAUCAUGCCCCUUAUGACCUGGGCUACACACGUGCUACAAUGGAUGGUACGAAGGGCAGCGAAGCGGCGACGCAUAAGCGAAUCCCAGAAAACCAUUCUCAGUUCGGAUUGC